UCAGGCUAGAGUGCAGGAGAGGAAGGUAGAAUUCCCGGUGUAGCGGUGAAAUGCGUAGAGAUCGGGAGGAAUACCAGUGGCGAAGGCGGCCUUCUGGACUGACACUGACACUGAGGUGCGAAAGCGUGGGUAGCAAACAGGAUUAGAUACCCUGGUAGUCCACGCCGUAAACGAUGUCGACCAGCCGUUGGGUGCCUCGCGCACUUAGUGGCGAAGUUAACGCGAUAAGUCGACCGCCUGGGGAGUACGGCCGCAAGGUUAAAACUCAAAUGAAUUGACGGGGGCCCGCACAAGCGGUGGAGCAUGUGGUUUAAUUCGAUGCAACGCGAAGAACCUUACCUACUCUUGACAUCCUGCGAACUUGUGAGAGAUCACUUGGUGCCUUCGGGAGCGCAGAGACAGGUGCUGCAUGGCUGUCGUCAGCUCGUGUUGUGAAAUGUUGGGUUAAGUCCCGUAGCGAGCGCAACCCUUGUCCUUAUUUGCCAGCACGUAAUGGUGGGAACUCUAAGGAGACUGCCGGUGACAAACCGGAGGAAGGUGGGGACGACGUCAAGUCAUCAUGGCCCUUACGAGUAGGGCUACACACGUGCUACAAUGGCCGGUACAAAGGGCAGCGAGCUCGCGAGAGUCAGCGAAUCCCUUAAAGCCGGUCUCAGUCCGGAUCGGAGUCUGCAACUCGACUCCGUGAAGUCGGAAUCGCUAGUAAUCGUGCAUCAGAAUGGCACGGUGAAUACGUUCCCGGGCCUUGUACACACCGCCCGU
Molecule: ribosomal RNA, 762 nt
Filed under: uncultured bacterium
Lineage: Bacteria
Description: bacterial SSU rRNA
Rfam family: Bacterial small subunit ribosomal RNA
Source: RNAcentral